AGAGUUUGAUCCUGGCUCAGAUUGAACGCUGGCGGCAGGCCUAACACAUGCAAGUCGAACGGUAACAGGAAGAAGCUUGCUUCUUUGCUGACGAGUGGCGGACGGGUGAGUAAUGUCUGGGAAACUGCCUGAUGGAGGGGGAUAACUACUGGAAACGGUAGCUAAUACCGCAUAACGUCGCAAGACCAAAGAGGGGGACCUUCGGGCCUCUUGCCAUCGGAUGUGCCCAGAUGGGAUUAGCUAGUAGGUGGGGUAACGGCUCACCUAGGCGACGAUCCCUAGCUGGUCUGAGAGGAUGACCAGCCACACUGGAACUGAGACACGGUCCAGACUCCUACGGGAGGCAGCAGUGGGGAAUAUUGCACAAUGGGCGCAAGCCUGAUGCAGCCAUGCCGCGUGUAUGAAGAAGGCCUUCGGGUUGUAAAGUACUUUCAGCGGGGAGGAAGGGAGUAAAGUUAAUACCUUUGCUCAUUGACGUUACCCGCAGAAGAAGCACCGGCUAACUCCGUGCCAGCAGCCGCGGUAAUACGGAGGGUGCAAGCGUUAAUCGGAAUUACUGGGCGUAAAGCGCACGCAGGCGGUUUGUUAAGUCAGAUGUGAAAUCCCCGGGCUCAACCUGGGAACUGCAUCUGAUACUGGCAAGCUUGAGUCUCGUAGAGGGGGGUAGAAUUCCAGGUGUAGCGGUGAAAUGCGUAGAGAUCUGGAGGAAUACCGGUGGCGAAGGCGGCCCCCUGGACGAAGACUGACGCUCAGGUGCGAAAGCGUGGGGAGCAAAAAGGAUUAGAUACCCUGGUAGUCCACGCCGUAAACGAUGUCGACUUGGAGGUUGUGCCCUUGAGGCGUGGCUUCCGGAGCUAACGCGUUAAGUCGACCGCCUGGGGAGUACGGCCGCAAGGUUAAAACUCAAAUGAAUUGACGGGGGCCCGCACAAGCGGUGGAGCAUGUGGUUUAAUUCGAUGCAACGCGAAGAACCUUACCUGGUCUUGACAUCCACGGAAGUUUUCAGAGAUGAGAAUGUGCCUUCGGGAACCGUGAGACAGGUGCUGCAUGGCUGUCGUCAGCUCGUGUUGUGAAAUGUUGGGUUAAGUCCCGCAACGAGCGCAACCCUUAUCCUUUGUUGCCAGCGGUCCGGCCGGGAACUCAAAGGAGACUGCCAGUGAUAAACUGGAGGAAGGUGGGGAUGACGUCAAGUCAUCAUGGCCCUUACGACCAGGGCUACACACGUGCUACAAUGGCGCAUACAAAGAGAAGCGACCUCGCGAGAGCAAGCGGACCUCAUAAAGUGCGUCGUAGUCCGGAUUGGAGUCUGCAACUCGACUCCAUGGAGUCGGAAUCGCUAGUAAUCGUGGAUCAGAAUGCCACGGUGAAUACGUUCCCGGGCCUUGCACACACCGCCCGUCA
RNAcentral lists this ribosomal RNA (1401 nucleotides) under uncultured bacterium. RNAcentral describes it as "bacterial SSU rRNA". It matches the Rfam family "Bacterial small subunit ribosomal RNA". The record is from RNAcentral.